RNAcentral lists this ribosomal RNA (406 nucleotides) under uncultured bacterium. RNAcentral's name for it is "partial 16S ribosomal RNA". It matches the Rfam family "Bacterial small subunit ribosomal RNA", at positions 30 to 526 of the family's 1533-position model. The record is from RNAcentral.
AUUGAACGCUGGCGGCAGGCCUAACACAUGCAAGUCGAACGAGUGGCGGACGGGUGAGUAAUGUCUGGGAAACUGCCCGAUGGAGGGGGAUAACUACUGGAAACGGUAGCUAAUACCGCAUACCAUCGGAUGUGCCCAGAUGGGAGUAGCUAGUAGGUGGGGUAACGGUUCACCUAGGCGACGAUCCCUAGCUGGUCUGAGAGGAUGACCAGCCACACUGGAAAUGAGACACGGUCGAGACUCCUACGGGAGGCAGCAGUGGGGAAUAUUGGACAAUGGGCGCAAGCCGGAUGAAGCCAUGCCGCGUGUAUGAAGAAGGCCUUCGGGUUGUAAAGUACGUUCAGCGAGGAGGCGUUACUCGCAGAAGAAGCACCGGCUAACUCCGUGCCAGCCGCCGCGGUAAUAC